RNAcentral lists this long non-coding RNA (254 nucleotides) under Gallus gallus (chicken). Lineage: Eukaryota; Metazoa; Chordata; Aves; Galliformes; Phasianidae. The record is from RNAcentral.
AGUGCAAUGUGUGACACAACAGUGCUGAGUGUGACACAACAGUGCUGUGUGUGACACAACAGUGCUGAGUGUGACACAACAGUGCUGUGUGUGACACAACAGUGCAAUGUGUGACACAACAGUGCAAUGUGUGACACAACAGUGCUGAGUGUGACACAACAGUGCAAUGUGUGACACAACAGUGCUGAGUGUGACACAACAGUGCAAUGUGUGACACAACAGUGCUGAGUGUGACACAACAGUGCUGAGUGUGA